This is a long non-coding RNA of Tachysurus vachellii, 1605 nucleotides long. RefSeq lists it as uncharacterized. The record is from RefSeq and is a predicted model, not a curated record. NCBI's taxonomy places the organism in Eukaryota, Metazoa, Chordata, Actinopteri, Siluriformes, Bagridae. The transcript is spliced from 2 exons.
GCUUGUUGCUAUGCAGUCUGAGGAAGAACAGGAUGGGUCUUGUUUACAAACUCUGUGUAGAACUGAUAGUCAGCUGUCUAGCUGGUUAUCAAACACCAGGACAAGCGUGUAUAACGGAAUAAAGACUUAUAAGACUUCCUCUUCCUUCGUCAGGUCUUCCUCCACGCAGUAGUCCAGCACGGCUCCCACUCCGAAAGCCCUGUUCUUCCGAAUGAGGGGUUUGAUGGAUUGAUGAUCUUCUCCUGCCACAAACUGACCGUAGAAUGUCAUUUUCAUCAGUUUCUCAAACAACGUCUGACCCAGCAGCUUCUUACUCAGGUCCAUGAUCUGUCAGGAAGGAAUGGGAGACAUUUUGGAAAGUUACUUGGUUAGAGAUUUUUGAUUUUGUUAAAGACUUCGGUUAGACAAAAUGUUAUAAUUCACAUCAUGUCUGGUGUGUAUACCUUGUUUCACUUUCACAUAGAAUAUAGUGAUUAAUAAUCCAGUAAAAACCUACAUAAAACCUUUUCUGAAGAAUUAUUCAAACUGCCACAAAGAUCGAUUUAGUCUACAUUGAAAUUAGGUUGAUGUAACACCUCCAUCCAGACGUUUGUUGACAUAAGUUUGCGUCAUGGUUGUAGCACUUCAUGACAACUAAAAACGGAUCAAUUUUUUUUUUUCACUUUCUAGUUACACUGUUUCAUUGAGCAAGCUAUGACACGUCAUGGCCAUCGUAUGACUUGACCUGAUGCUUCUACUGAAUAGAAUGUUAUAAAAAUUAUAUAUAGGUUACUUUUUAAAUCAUUGUGAAGGCCUUAUGUAAGUAGGAGAAGGGUUAAGUAGCAGGGGCUUCUGGUAGUAAACUUUAGAAUAGCUUUCCUGACAGUGUUCAGGGUUUAGACACACUUUCCCAGUUUAAAUGUAGAUUAAAGACAUAUUUCUUCAGCCAGGCGUACACAUAACACAUCCCAUAACUUUGUGCUCCAGCAGAUCUGAUCACAUCCACAUUAUUAAAUAGUCCUGGUUAAUAUCAUGAACAGCAGAUACGCUAAUUCCUCUGCACACGCUUCUCUUUUUCUUCCCAUCCCGAGACAUUCAGAGAUUGUACCAGCUCCAGUUGUGUUCUGCUUCAUGAAGAUUUUGGACCUUCAGUGAGAACAGACCAACCCUGUGAGGAUCCUGAGGCAUCUACCAGCUCCAGUUGGAUUUCGUUUCAUGAAGAUUUUGAAUAUUCAAAGAGACGAUUCCAACUACAUUUGUUCUCUGAGGACAACAUCCUCUUCAUCAAUACACAAUUGUCAGACUGUAUCUGACUAUAGAAAGGACAUUAUUCAUAAUAACACUCUCCGGUGUUUAUAACAGUUUAUAAUCACACCCUCCAGUGUCACCCAAAUGAGGAUGAGGUUUCUUUUUGAGUCUGGUUCCUGUCAAGGUUUCUUCCUCUUCCACCUAAGGGAGUUUUUCCUCACCACUUUUGCCUCAGGCUUCCUCAUUAGGGAUAAAUGCAAAUAAAAUUUCAUAUGAAUCUUGAACUUUUUGUACUAUAUUUCUUGUUCUGUAAAGUUGCAUUAAGACAAUGUACAUUGUUAAUACCGCUAUACAAAUAAAAUUGAAUAUUAAAUUAUA